CCUACGGGAGGCAGCAGUAAGGGAUAUUGGUCAAUGGGGGAAACCCUGAACCAGCAACGCCGCGUGAGGGAAGACGGUUUUCGGAUUGUAAACCUCUGUCCUCUGUGAAGAUGAUGACGGUAGCAGAGGAGGAAGCUCCGGCUAACUACGUGCCAGCAGCCGCGGUAAUACGUAGGGAGCGAGCGUUGUCCGGAUUUACUGGGUGUAAAGGGUGCGUAGGCGGCUUGGCAAGUCAGUAGUGAAAUCCAUGGGCUUAACCCAUGAACUGCUAUUGAAACUGUCGAGCUUGAGGGAAGUAGAGGUAGGGGGAACUCCGGGGGGAGCGGUGAAAGGGGUAGAGAUGGGGAGGACAACCAGGGCGGAGGGGGCCCUAUUGGGUUUUAACGG
Molecule: ribosomal RNA, 387 nt
Filed under: uncultured bacterium
Lineage: Bacteria
Description: partial 16S ribosomal RNA
Rfam family: Bacterial small subunit ribosomal RNA
Source: RNAcentral